CCCUGGCUCAGGAUGAACGCCGGCGGCGUGCUUAACACAUGCAAGUCGAACGAUGAAGCCCAGCUUGCUGGGUGGAUUAGUGGCGAACGGGUGAGUAACACGUGAGUAACCUGCCCUUAACUCUGGGAUAAGCCUGGGAAACUAGGUCUAAUACCGGAUAGGAGCGUCCACCGCAUGGUGGGUGUUGGAAAGAUUUAUCGGUUUUGGAUGGACUCGCGGCCUAUCAGCUUGUUGGUGAGGUAAUGGCUCACCAAGGCGACGACGGGUAGCCGGCCUGAGAGGGUGACCGGCCACACUGGGACUGAGACACGGCCCAGACUCCUACGGGAGGCAGCAGUGGGGAAUAUUGCACAAUGGGCGCAAGCCUGAUGCAGCGACGCCGCGUGAGGGAUGACGGCCUUCGGGUUGUAAACCUCUUUCAGUAGGGAAGAAGCGAAAGUGACGGUACCUGCAGAAGAAGC
RNAcentral lists this ribosomal RNA (461 nucleotides) under Micrococcineae bacterium CL7.20. RNAcentral's name for it is "bacterial SSU rRNA". It matches the Rfam family "Bacterial small subunit ribosomal RNA", at positions 17 to 491 of the family's 1533-position model. Lineage: Bacteria; Bacillati; Actinomycetota; Actinomycetes; Micrococcales. The record is from RNAcentral.